RNAcentral lists this ribosomal RNA (251 nucleotides) under uncultured prokaryote. RNAcentral describes it as "partial 16S rRNA". It matches the Rfam family "Bacterial small subunit ribosomal RNA", at positions 525 to 775 of the family's 1533-position model. The record is from RNAcentral.
ACGUAGGUGGCAAGCGUUGUCCGGAAUUACUGGGUGUAAAGGGAGCGCAGGCGGGGAUUCAAGUUGGAUGUGAAAUGUCAUGGCUUAACUAUGGCCCUGCAUCCAAAACUGAAUUUCUUGAGUGAAGUAGAGGCAAGCGGAAUUCCGAGUGUAGCGGUGAAAUGCGUAGAUAUUCGGAGGAACACCAGUGGCGAAGGCGGCUUGCUGGGCUUUAACUGACGCUGAGGCUCGAAAGUGUGGGGAGCAAACAG